RNAcentral lists this ribosomal RNA (433 nucleotides) under uncultured bacterium. Its description in RNAcentral is "partial 16S ribosomal RNA". It matches the Rfam family "Bacterial small subunit ribosomal RNA", at positions 29 to 507 of the family's 1533-position model. The record is from RNAcentral.
AACGAACGCUGGCGGCAGGCCUAACACAUGCAAGUCGAGCGAGCAUUUCGGUGCUAGCGGCGGACGGGUGAGUAACGCGUGGGAACGUGCCCUUUUCUGCGGAAUAGUCCUGGGAAACUGGGGGUAAUACCGCAUACGCCCUUUUGGGGAAAGAUUUAUCGGAGAAGGAUCGGCCCGCGUUGGAUUAGGUAGUUGGUGGGGUAAUGGCCCACCAAGCCGACGAUCCAUAGCUGGUUUGAGAGGAUGAUCAGCCACACUGGGACUGAGACACGGCCCAGACUCCUACGGGAGGCAGCAGUGGGGAAUCUUAGACAAUGGGGGCAACCCUGAUCUAGCCAUGCCGCGUGAGAGAUGAAGGCCUUAGGGUUGUAAAGCUCUUUCAGCUGGGAAGAUAAUGACGGUACCAGCAGAAGAAGCCCCGGCUAACUCCGUG